This 203-nucleotide long non-coding RNA is filed under the name Setaria italica (foxtail millet). RNAcentral's name for it is "long non-coding RNA (SITA_LNC003139)". Lineage: Eukaryota; Viridiplantae; Streptophyta; Magnoliopsida; Poales; Poaceae. The record is from RNAcentral.
CCAUGUCGUGCCUAUACUACAUAUAUACACAACAUCGUCUUUCCAUCACAUACAUCCUUCAACCACCAUAGGGAUAAACACCCAACUCUGCGGCAUUAAUCCCCAAAUAUGCCAUCAUAGCUUGCAGCAUAUUUUGAUCCACGGUAAUCAAAGUCUGCCCUAGAGGAACAGCAGGUCCCUGAUUGACUGCAAAUCCAACUUCA